UACGUAGGGUGCGAGCGUUGCCCGGAUUUAUUGGGCGUAAAGGGCGCGCAGGCGGUCACGCACGUCCGUUGUGAAAUCGCUCGGCUCAACUGGGCGGGGUCAGCGGAUACGGCGCGACUGGAGCAAGCUAGGGGGCAAUGGAAUUCCCGGUGUAGUGGUGGAAUGCGUAGAUAUGUCACAGAACACCAAUUGCGAAGGCAGCUUACUAUGGUUUGAUUGACACUGAGGCACGAAAGCGUGGGGAUCAAACAGG
This 253-nucleotide ribosomal RNA is filed under the name uncultured bacterium. RNAcentral's name for it is "partial 16S ribosomal RNA". It matches the Rfam family "Bacterial small subunit ribosomal RNA", at positions 524 to 776 of the family's 1533-position model. The record is from RNAcentral.